Molecule: ribosomal RNA, 253 nt
Filed under: uncultured bacterium
Lineage: Bacteria
Description: partial 16S ribosomal RNA
Rfam family: Bacterial small subunit ribosomal RNA
Source: RNAcentral
UACGGGGGGGGCAAGCGUUGUUCGGAAUUACUGGGCGUAAAGGGCUCGUAGGCGGCCAACUAAGUCGGAUGUGAAAUCCCCAGGCUUAACCUGGGAACUGCAUCCGAUACUGGAUGGCUUGAAUCCGGGAGAGGGAUGCAGAAUUCCAGGUGUAGCGGUGAAAUGCGCAGAUAUCAGGAAGAACACCCGUGGCGAAGGCGGCUCUCUGGGACGGUACUGACGCUGAGACGCGAAAGCGUGGGGAGCGAACAGG